CGUCGGUUCCUCCGCGACGAUCAGCCGUGAAGUCCGCCAGGCCCGGAAGGGAGCAACGGUAGCGGUGACAUCGGGUGCCGGAGGGGUGCUGGCGCGG
Gammaproteobacteria bacterium SG8_30 is the source of this 97-nucleotide non-coding RNA. Lineage: Bacteria; Pseudomonadati; Pseudomonadota; Gammaproteobacteria. The record is from Rfam.